AAAAAGAAAAUAGUUUUUCCGUAGACAGUGGGUGCGAAAGCGUAAAAUUAAAUUGCCCGCCUAGGUUAUAUAAUAGAUGAUAUUAUAGAUCUUCCUUGUCUGCGGGAAGAUCUUUUUAAAUAUAAUA
Regulatory RNA element from Clostridium saccharobutylicum DSM 13864, 127 nucleotides. It matches the Rfam family "Ribosomal protein L10 leader". From Rfam's summary of the family: This family is a putative r-protein leader autoregulatory structure found in B. subtilis and other low-GC Gram-positive bacteria. It is located in the 5' untranslated regions of mRNAs encoding ribosomal proteins L10 and L12 (rplJ-rplL). Lineage: Bacteria; Bacillati; Bacillota; Clostridia; Eubacteriales; Clostridiaceae. The record is from Rfam.